This 468-nucleotide ribosomal RNA is filed under the name uncultured bacterium. Its description in RNAcentral is "partial 16S ribosomal RNA". It matches the Rfam family "Bacterial small subunit ribosomal RNA", at positions 28 to 507 of the family's 1533-position model. The record is from RNAcentral.
GACGAACGCUGGCGGCGUGCUUAACACAUGCAAGUCGAACGGAAAGGCCCUGCUUUUGUGGGGUGCUCGAGUGGCGAACGGGUGAGUAACACGUGAGUAACCUGCCCUUGACUUUGGGAUAACUUCAGGAAACUGAGGCUAAUACCGGAUAGGAGCUCCUGCUGCAUGGUGGGGGUUGGAAAGUUUCGGCGGUUGGGGAUGGACUCGCGGCUUACCAGCUUGUUGGUGGGGUAGUGGCUUACCAAGGCUUUGACGGGUAGCCGGCCUGAGAGGGUGACCGGCCACAUUGGGACUGAGAUACGGCCCAGACUCCUACGGGAGGCAGCAGUGGGGAAUAUUGCACAAUGGGCGGAAGCCUGAUGCAGCAACGCCGCGUGCGGGAUGACGGCCUUCGGGUUGUAAACCGCUUUCGCCUGUGACGAAGCGUGAGUGACGGUAAUGGGUAAAGAAGCACCGGCUAACUACGUG